RNAcentral lists this transfer RNA (72 nucleotides) under Ovis aries (sheep). It matches the Rfam family "tRNA". From Rfam's summary of the family: Transfer RNA (tRNA) molecules are approximately 80 nucleotides in length. Their secondary structure includes four short double-helical elements and three loops (D, anti-codon, and T loops). Further hydrogen bonds mediate the characteristic L-shaped molecular structure. tRNAs have two regions of fundamental functional importance: the anti-codon, which is responsible for specific mRNA codon recognition, and the 3' end, to which the tRNAs corresponding amino acid is attached (by aminoacyl-tRNA synthetases). tRNAs cope with the degeneracy of the genetic code in two manners: having more than one tRNA (with a specific anti-codon) for a particular amino acid; and 'wobble' base-pairing, i.e. permitting non-standard base-pairing at the 3rd anti-codon position. Lineage: Eukaryota; Metazoa; Chordata; Mammalia; Artiodactyla; Bovidae. The record is from Rfam by way of RNAcentral.
UGCCCGGUGGCUCAGAGGUUAAAGCGUCUGCCUGGAAUGCGGGAGACCCAGGUUCGAUCCCUGGGUCAGCAA